Molecule: long non-coding RNA, 413 nt
Organism: Oncorhynchus tshawytscha (Chinook salmon)
Lineage: Eukaryota; Metazoa; Chordata; Actinopteri; Salmoniformes; Salmonidae
Exons: 4
Source: RefSeq, a predicted model, not a curated record
CACUGGUGGAUUCCCAAUCCCAUUCAAAUCCUUUUCUUUAUUCGCUUUUCAGUCUUAUUGUCCACAGCCCUUGUCAUGGAGAACAUUCUCUACACAUGUCAAGAGGGUACAAUCACACUUGAAGCACCAUUUGGAGCAAUGGAUCCCCAUUGUGAACAGAGCUGGACCACUGGCAAAAAGCCCAUUGCCUACUACAAAAAUGGCAAAGGUGAAUGCAGUUUUCCAUGCAAGCACGUGUUCUCUGGCAAAGUCAUCCUCCGUGAAUGUCCCGAUGUCAUAUUAACUACUGGUUGCACCACCAAAGAUGGGGUAUAUGAAGAGACCAGGCUACACUUCUCAGUGAUAACCAGACCAACUGUCUCUAUGACAACCACUAACACUGCAAACAAGCAAUUCUAUGGUAAAGUAUGAUU